This 177-nucleotide non-coding RNA is filed under the name Saccharicrinis fermentans DSM 9555 = JCM 21142. The record is from RNAcentral. Lineage: Bacteria; Pseudomonadati; Bacteroidota; Bacteroidia; Marinilabiliales; Marinilabiliaceae.
CUUGGGGUGACCCAUGCAGUGAAGGAAGCCAAACGGCAAACUCUGGUACUGACGGACAGAAACCGUAUAUGAGGCUUUGUAAACCGGAUGAGCAAGCAUAUCAUUGUGACGUCCAAACACCAAGGAGGUGAGUGUUUAUAAAGUAGAUGCGGCAGGCAUUGGAGGAAGGAUACAGCA